RNAcentral lists this long non-coding RNA (1837 nucleotides) under Cricetulus griseus (Chinese hamster). RNAcentral's name for it is "lncRNA (ENSCGRG00015033065.1)". The record is from RNAcentral. Lineage: Eukaryota; Metazoa; Chordata; Mammalia; Rodentia; Cricetidae.
CUUACUCCACUUGGAGGCUGCAGUUGACUUGGGUCCAGGAGGAACCCUGAGCCCCUUGUGCAUAGCGCUCACCGCUUCCUGCUUUAUCACGUUCUGGAAACAUUAAACACCCACACAUGGAACACACACCGACCAUCACCAGUCUCUGCAGGUUCCACCCCAGCCCACCCAGGUUACUUGUGGCCAAAUCUUGAAUGACCUCAUCCAUUCCCUCUGCCUUGCUGAGCAACUCUUUUGCAUGCUUAAAACACAAACACAACUCUGCUGUCACACCCACCAGGAGCAGCUCACGCAAGGCCACUUGACUGGUGAAGUGUGUCUGAACCAGCUCAAAGCUUGGAAUGUUUGGGGCUAGGGAAGCUGGGGCCUCUCCUGACUCCACAUCCGUGCAGAUGUCUUUCCACUGCUGUGGGAACCACAGCCCUGUGUUUGAGAUUUUGCCAGAUCGGCUACUGAUGGGUGGCUUUGCUGUUUCAGUGUCACAAAUAAAAGAGUCAAAAAGUUUACUACUUCACCUUGUGGUGCUGGAGCCCAGCAUUCUUCCAUUUGAGACGCAUUACCUCCAGCCCAAGCUCAAGAUUUCAUUUGUGUGUUUCUAUUGUUGUUGUUGUAGUUGCUGGGGCUUUUUUGUUUGGUUUGUAUCUGUUGUGAAAAGAGUUCCAUGGUAUUUAUUGAACUUGCCACUUAGCUGAGGAUGACCUUGGACGCACGAGGUCUUCUUAUGUCUACCUCCUAAGUGCUGUGAUGACAAAUGUGUCACUACCAAACCCAGCCCUGUUGACUAUUUAAAAGUAUAGAAUUCAGGGACUGGGAAAGCGGCUCAGUGGGUAAGGGCCUGAGUUCUGUCUCCAGCACCUGUGUAGAUGGUGAACAGGCAGGGUGGCCUACCUGGAAUCCCAUGUGCUCCGGAGGUGGCAACAGGGGACCCCAGAGUAAGCUGGCUCCUGGCAGAGAACCAAUGAAGAAGACAUCCAAUAUUGACUUCUUGCACACAUGAGGGAGGAACCAGGAAAAGCAAAGCCAGACGUGGGCAGUAUCCAGGCUGGGGCAAGGAUGACCCUCAUGGGCUGAUGGAGGCAGGGAGGUCUGGAGUAGACACACAGCUGACUGCAGGCGCCUGUGCUUCAUGAGGUUGGCCGAAAGUCACCACAGGAGUCUCACCCUGAAGACCCAUCCCAGGGACAUCUUCUCUGUAUCCUGGUUCAGCUGGGAUCCAGUGAGAUCCGGUGAGGACCUUUCCUUCCAAGAUGUUUUUCAAUCAUUCUCAAUAGCGGCCACCCUACUGCCAGCAGAAUAGUAAUAGAAACUGAUAUUUAGGGAUCUAUUUUAAAAGUCUGCCAGGCGGCAGUGGUGCACGCCUUUAAUCCCAGCACUCCGGAGGCAGAGGCAGGUGGAUCUCUUCGAGUUCAAAGACAGCCUGGUCUAUAGAGCAAGUUCCAAGACAGGCUCCAAAGCUACAGAGAAACCCUGUCUUUGGAAAAAAAAAAAAAAAAGUCUUUCAGGCUGGGGAUGUGGUUCAGUGCUAGAGCACUUGGUUCAUAGACACAAGGCCCUGGGAUCUAGUCACAAAACUGUGAGAGAAAAAACAAUUUUAAUUAAAUUUCUCCUGGAUUCUAUGCACUGGAAAGUCAUAUGGGUCUCACAUUAUCGCCAGACACUGGGGCUUGUGGUAAAACAGCUGGCGCUGUUUGGUCCUGGAUCCUGUGGUAUCCUGGUGAGGCUGGAGUCUGGCCCAGGCAUGCUUUAGUCGUAUGGAGAUCCAGCGGCCAGUAGGAGCCGGUCACAGGAUACUGGAUGCUCAGAACUCUGGUGCUUCUGGGAGGCCAGGGGUGGCAAG